This is a long non-coding RNA of Manduca sexta (tobacco hornworm), 277 nucleotides long. RefSeq lists it as uncharacterized. The record is from RefSeq and is a predicted model, not a curated record. The transcript has 2 exons. Lineage: Eukaryota; Metazoa; Arthropoda; Insecta; Lepidoptera; Sphingidae.
GCAAAGAUGUGUUUGUAAACAGCAAAGAUAACUAUAUUCUAAUUUGUUGCAGGCAAGACGAGCUCUCUAAUCAGCAUAUCAGAAGCGUUGGUGCCGGUCAUCUACUCCCCCAGUAUAUAGUUUUGUGUACGACCGCACCCUUACGACGUUUUCGGGCGCUUUUUACUUGAUCAGCGCUGGAUUAGCCGUCCCUGCCAUAGGUAUAUUAAUAUUGUUGUUCUACCUCCGUUCAAGAGAGGCAAAUGAAAAUAACCCAACGUCAGACACCAAGCCGAAA